ACUCGGAUAACCGUAGUAAUUCUAGAGCUAAUACNUGCGUAAAUCCCCACUUUUGAAGGGACGNAUUUAUUAUAUAAAGACCGACCUCGUUUUGCGGUGAAUCAUGAUAACUUUACGGAUCGCAUGGGCUUGUCCCGGCGAUGUUCCAUUCAAAUUUCUGCCCUAUCAACUUUCNAUGGUANGAUAGAGGCCUACCAUGGNGGUAACGGGUGACGGANAAUUANGGUUCGAUUCCGGAGAGGGAGCCUGAGAAACGGCUACCACAUCCNAGGAAGGCAGCAGGNGCGCAAAUUACCCAAUCCUGACACAGGGAGGUAGUGACAAUAAAUAACAAUACCGGGCUUUUUCAAGUCUGGUAAUUGGAAUGAGAACAAUCUAAAUCCCUUAACGAGGAUCCAUU
This 400-nucleotide ribosomal RNA is filed under the name uncultured Chlorophyta. Its description in RNAcentral is "partial 18S ribosomal RNA". It matches the Rfam family "Eukaryotic small subunit ribosomal RNA", at positions 137 to 549 of the family's 1831-position model. Lineage: Eukaryota; Viridiplantae; Chlorophyta. The record is from RNAcentral.